GAAGGAUGACUUAGCUAAAAUAGCUCGAGUAAAGGUAGUCAAGAGUAGGGAGAUGAAAAUCGAAUAAUUUACAGCUAAGUAGAGAAAUGGUUCAAAAAUUAAACACUCACACAUUCAAGGAACAUCACGAUGUAUAGUGGUUCGGUCAAAUGACCUACAUCUAUUUUCGAAGCCUUCUUCGAUGAGGCUUCUAACUUCCACUAG
RNAcentral lists this long non-coding RNA (204 nucleotides) under Musa acuminata (dwarf banana). RNAcentral describes it as "long non-coding RNA (MACU_LNC010017)". The record is from RNAcentral. Lineage: Eukaryota; Viridiplantae; Streptophyta; Magnoliopsida; Zingiberales; Musaceae.